GCCUGAGUGGCUAAGUCAGUAAAGCAUCUGACUUUGGCUCAGCUCAUGAUCUCACGGUUUGUGAGUUCAAGCCCUGCAUCAGGCU
This 85-nucleotide transfer RNA is filed under the name Felis catus (domestic cat). It matches the Rfam family "tRNA". From Rfam's summary of the family: Transfer RNA (tRNA) molecules are approximately 80 nucleotides in length. The record is from Rfam by way of RNAcentral. Lineage: Eukaryota; Metazoa; Chordata; Mammalia; Carnivora; Felidae.